RNAcentral lists this ribosomal RNA (464 nucleotides) under uncultured organism. RNAcentral describes it as "partial 16S ribosomal RNA". It matches the Rfam family "Bacterial small subunit ribosomal RNA", at positions 329 to 801 of the family's 1533-position model. The record is from RNAcentral.
ACGUACACUCCUACGGGAGGCAGCAGUGGGGAAUAUUGCACAAUGGGCGCAAGCCUGAUGCAGCGACGCCGCGUGGGGGAUGAAGGCCUUCGGGUUGUAAACUCCUUUCGCUAGGGACGAAGCUUUUUUGUGACGGUACCUAGAUAAGAAGCACCGGCUAACUACGUGCCAGCAGCCGCGGUAAUACGUAGGGUGCGAGCGUUGUCCGGAAUUACUGGGCGUAAAGGGCUCGUAGGUGGUUUGUCGCGUCGUCUGUGAAAUUCUGGGGCUUAACUCCGGGCGUGCAGGCGAUACGGGCAUAACUUGAGUGCUGUAGGGGUAACUGGAAUUCCUGGUGUAGCGGUGAAAUGCGCAGAUAUCAGGAGGAACACCGAUGGCGAAGGCAGGUUACUGGGCAGUUACUGACGCUGAGGAGCGAAAGCAUGGGUAGCGAACAGGAUUAGAUACCCCUGUAGUCCCAUGAU